RNAcentral lists this ribosomal RNA (497 nucleotides) under uncultured bacterium. RNAcentral's name for it is "partial 16S ribosomal RNA". It matches the Rfam family "Bacterial small subunit ribosomal RNA", at positions 28 to 507 of the family's 1533-position model. The record is from RNAcentral.
GAUGAACGCUGGCGGCGUGCCUAAUACAUGCCAGUCGAGCGAACAGACGAGGAGCUUGCUCCUCUGACGUUAGCGGCGGACGGGUGAGUAACACGUGGAUAACCUACCUAUAAGACUGGAAUAACUUCGGGAAACCGGAGCUAAUACCGGAUAAUAUAUUGAACCGCAUGGUUCAAUAGUGAAAGACGGUUUUGCUGUCACUUAUAGAUGGAUCCGCGCCGCAUUAGCUAGUUGGUAAGGUAACGGCUUACCAAGGCAACGAUGCGUAGCCGACCUGAGAGGGUGAUCGGCCACACUGGAACUGAGACACGGUCCAGACUCCUACGGGAGGCAGCAGUAGGGAAUCUUCCGCAAUGGGCGAAAGCUUGACGGAGCAACGCCGCGUGAGUGAUGAAGGUCUUCGGAUCGUAAAACUCUGUUAUUAGGGAAGAACAAAUGUGUAAGUAACUAUGCACGUCUUGACGGUACCUAAUCAGAAAGCCACGGCUAACUACGUG